GGGCCCGCACAAGCGGUGGAGUAUGUGGUUUAAUUCGAUGCAACGCGAAGAACCUUACCAGGGUUUGACAUCCUGCGAAUCUCUUGGAAACAGGAGAGUGCCUUCGGGAACGCAGUGACAGGUGGUGCAUGGCUGUCGUCAGCUCGUGUCGUGAGAUGUUGGGUUAAGUCCCGCAACGAGCGCAACCCACGUCUUUAGUUGCCAGCAUUUAGUUGGGCACUCUGAAAGAACUGCCAGUGAUAAGCUGGAGGAAGGUGGGGAUGACGUCAAGUCCUCAUGGCCCUUACGUGUUGGGCUACACACGUACUACAAUGCUACGGACAAAGGGCAGCAAGUUCGCGAGGACAAGCAAAUCCCAUAAACCGUGGCUCAGUUCAGAUCGUAGGCUGCAACUCGCCUACGUGAAGGCGGAAUCGCUAGUAAUCGC
Molecule: ribosomal RNA, 427 nt
Filed under: uncultured bacterium
Lineage: Bacteria
Description: bacterial SSU rRNA
Rfam family: Bacterial small subunit ribosomal RNA
Source: RNAcentral